Molecule: ribosomal RNA, 478 nt
Filed under: uncultured bacterium
Lineage: Bacteria
Description: partial 16S ribosomal RNA
Rfam family: Bacterial small subunit ribosomal RNA
Source: RNAcentral
GAUGAACGCUGGCGGCGUGCUUAACACAUGCCAGUCGAACGGGAAUUAUUUUAUUGACACUUCGGUCGAUUUCAUUUAAUUCUAGUGGCGGACGGGUGAGUAACGCGUGGGUAACCUGCCUUAUACAGGGGGAUAACAGUCAGAAAUGGCUGCUAAUACCGCAUAAGCGCACAGAGCUGCAUGGCUCAGUGUGAAAAACUCCGGUGGUAUAAGAUGGACCCGCGUUGGAUUAGCUGGUUGGUGGGGUAACGGCCCACCAAGGCGACGAUCCAUAGCCGGCCUGAGAGGGUGAACGGCCACAUUGGGACUGAGACACGGCCCAGACUCCUACGGGAGGCAGCAGUGGGGAAUAUUGCACAAUGGGGGAAACCCUGAUGCAGCGACGCCGCGUGAAGGAAGAAGUAUCUCGGUAUGUAAACUUCUAUCAGCAGGGAAGAUAGUGACGGUACCUGACUAAGAAGCCCCGGCUAACUACGUG